Molecule: unclassified non-coding RNA, 735 nt
Filed under: Penaeus chinensis
Lineage: Eukaryota; Metazoa; Arthropoda; Malacostraca; Decapoda; Penaeidae
Description: zinc finger protein 583-like, transcript variant X1
Source: RNAcentral
CCCGAGGCGGACAGCUGCCCGACAGACGUCCACGCCCGAGCCUGCACUGGCGAAGUUGCUGUCGAGGCAAGGGAACACAGGAAUCGCCGCUGGAAAGGUGGAAGAGUCAUCCCUCCGCCAGUUCUCCACCGGUCAUUAACUGUGGAAAAGUUGCCAGUUAGUGAAUAAAGUAAUGGUGCGGAAGGAACAACCAUGGUCAUUCGACGCCACAAGCCAAGCUUCCUGCCAUCACCUGCGAGCUGACAGACUAUCCCGCGGAAAGUCAGCGUUCAAUGUCUUCUGUUUUGCUAAGUUACAGGUUACUAAGGAAUGGUGGUUCACUGCUGGCGUUGAAGCCUUGGAUCAUUUUGAAUGCUGAAAGAAAUUGGCGAAACUGUGUUAGUGUGACAGGACCUGUUCAUAAUCCUGUAACUUCUCUCAGCGUUGCCAAGUACUCUCAACCAGGCUAGAGAGAUUCUUCAAGAUUCCACAAAAUCUAGAUACAAAGUUUCCAUCUAAGGAGUGCUUCUAAACUUGGUAUCUGUUGUGUAUCCACACGAUGUAACACCUAUACUGGAUUUUUUGCAUUGCCAAACAAGUCAGAGGGAAUAUGCAAAAUGUUGAUAUUACUGAUAUUGGAUAAAGCAUGAGUAAGGGAUGAUUAUGAAUGUAAAAAAUAUAUAAUUAUUCAAUAUAUGCUGCUUAUUUUUUUUAUAAUCAAUAUAACUAUGAAAUCUAACACCUGCAAGGUACAUA